GGUUCCUACGGGGGGCAGCAGUGAGGAAUAUUGGUCAAUGGGCUAAGGCCUGAACCAGCCAAGUCGCGUGAGGGAAGACGGUCCUAUGGAUUGUAAACCUCUUUUGUCGGGGAGCAACGAGGCCACGUGUGGCCGAAGUGAGAGUACCCGAAGAAAAAGCAUCGGCUAACUCCGUGCCAGCAGCCGCGGUAAUACGGAGGAUGCGAGCGUUAUCCGGAUUUAUUGGGCUUAAAGGGUGCGCAGGCGGAUUUUUGAGUCAGCGGUCAAAUCGUGGGGCUCAACCCCAUCCAGCCGUUGAAACUGGG
This 305-nucleotide ribosomal RNA is filed under the name uncultured bacterium. RNAcentral's name for it is "bacterial SSU rRNA". It matches the Rfam family "Bacterial small subunit ribosomal RNA", at positions 334 to 637 of the family's 1533-position model. The record is from RNAcentral.